Molecule: long non-coding RNA, 6069 nt
Filed under: Homo sapiens (human)
Lineage: Eukaryota; Metazoa; Chordata; Mammalia; Primates; Hominidae
Description: non-protein coding lnc-BUB3-4:2
Source: RNAcentral
CUUUGGUAAACAGGAGCUGUGUGGAUUUAUAUAGUCCUUAGAGAUUCUUUUUUAGUUGGCUUAACUUCUGUUUAUAUCUUUUCCCAGUCCAAGAUAUGCCUAAAAUGGUUAUUUUGGAGUUGAUGAUCUUCUCCACAGUAAAACCUGUUGAUAGACUUCUGAGUUUUGGGAUCCCCAGCCAGUCUAGCCUGACCCCCUUAUUUUGAAGCAGCUGAGGGAAAGUGCGUCGCCUCAGAUCUCAGGACUUGGAGUCAGCCAGUCAACUCUAGGUCCCCUGUCAUGAUUCAUGCUGAUGUUAGGUGGAUUUGCAUUCUCUGUCGAACUGGAUCUCUUGCUCAAAACUGACCCUGAGCCUAACCUUCUUUCCCCACUUACACAGCCAUUGUCACCAUCGCACCACUACUAUCAUCAUCACCACCACCAUCAUCACACCACCACCACCACCAUCAUCACUAUCAUCAUCACACCACCACCACCACCAUCAUCACUAUCAUCAUCACACCAUCACCACCACCAUCAUCACACCACCACCACCACCAUCAUCACUAUCAUCAUCAUCACCACACCACCACCAUCACCACCACCACCAUCACACCACCACCACCACUGUCGUCAUCACUAUCAUCAUCAUCACACCACCACCACCAUCAUCACACCACCACCACCACCACCGUCGUCAUCACUAUCAUCAUCAUCAUCACACCGCCACCAUCACCACCACCACCAUCACACCACCACCACCACCACCACCGUCACCAUCACUAUCAUCAUCAUCACACCACCACCACCACCACCAUCAUCACACCACCACCGCCACCGUCGUCAUCACUAUCAUCAUCAUCAUCACACCACCACCAUCACCACCACCAUCACACCACCACCACCACUACUGUCAUCACUAUCAUCAUCAUCACACCACCACCAUCACCAUCAUCACACCACCACCACCAUCACCAUCACCAUCAUCACACCACCACCACCAUCACACCACCACCACCAUCAUUAUCAUCACCAUCAUCACACCACCACCACCACCAUCACCAUCACCAUCAUCACACCACCACCACCAUUACCAUCACCAUCAUCACACCACCACCACCACCAUUACCAUCACCAUCAUCACACCACCACCAUCACCAUCAUCACACCACCACCACCAUCACCAUCAUCACACCACCACCAUCAUUACCAUCACCAUCAUCACACCACCACCACCACCAUUACCAUCAUCACACCACCACCAUCAUCACACCACCACCACCAUCAUAUACCAUCACCAUCAACACACCACCACCACCAUCAUAUACCAUCACCAUCAUCACACCGCCACCACCAUCAUUACCAUCACCAUCAUCACACCACCACCACCAACAUUACCAUCACCAUCAUCACACCACCACCACCACCAUUACCAUCACCAUCAUCACACUACCACCACCAUUACCAUCACCAUCAUCACACUACCACCAUCAUUACCAUCACCAUCAUCACACCACCACCACCAACAUUACCAUCACCAUCAUCACGCCACCACCACCACCAUUACCAUCACCACCAUCACACCACCACCACCACCAUCACCAUCAUCACACCACCACCACCACCAUCACCAUCAUCACACCACCACCACCACCAUUACCAUCACCAUCAUUACACCACCCCCACCAUUACCAUCACCAUCAUCACACCACCACCACCACCAUUACCAUCACCAUCAUCACACCCCCACCAUCAUUACCAUCACCAUCAUUACACCACCACCAUCAGUACACCACCACCACCAUUACCAUCACCAUCAUCACAUCACCACCACCAUCACACCAUCACUAUAAUUACCACCACCAUUAUCACAUCACCACCAUUAUCAUCACCAUCAUCAACAUCAUACCACCACCAUCAUCAUCACAUCCUCUUCCUUGAUGUCUUAUCUCCAUGGCGUGUACACUGGAUGUAGAAUAUAGUCUUGCUGGGUACUACGGGAGCUGUAUCUCAGUAGAAGGAAUGAAGACUAGCUCUUGAUAAGCUGAAAAUCCCUUAAUAGCCUACAUUCUAAAUACGCAUAUUCAUUGUACCAGGGGUUUCUAACCUUGCUUUGAUGAUAUCCUAGUGUCACUGUCUCAAAACCAAAUUAAUUUUGGACUUGAGUAUUUAGCGUUGGGAGAAGGAGUAGGAUUGUAUAUUAUUAUAACCAACAUUGAUGUGCUUUUGAAUUCCAAAAGGACGUUUUAUUUCUUUUUAUUUUUUCUAGAGACAGGGUCUUGCUGUGUCACCCAGGCUGGAGUGCAGUGGCAAGACCAUAGCUCACUGCAGGCUCCAACUCCUGGGCUCAAGUGAUUCUCCUGCCUCAGCUUCCCAAGUAGCUGGGACUACAGAGGUGUGCCACCAUGUCCAGCUAAUUUUUCUAUUUUUUAUUUUGUAGAGAUGGGGUCUUGCUAUGUUGCCCAGGCUGGUCUUGAACUCCUGGCAUCAAGUGAUCCUCUCACCUUGGCCUCCCAAAGUGCUGGGAUUAUAGGCAUGAGUCACUGUGCCCAGCCCCAGAAGGUUUUAAAGUUCUAACUGACACAAUAUUGGUAGGGGUCUAUGUGAGAAGCAGGCAUAUCUACAAACCUGAGCUCCAACAGGGUCUUUCAUCAUGGUUUCAUUAAAAAUUAGCUCCUGGCAGGAGACUAGUUGAGUUUCUGAACCACGAUGACCAGGCCUAGGGUGCUGGCUUUUCAGAGAACCAUCCCCCUACUCCCCAGGUGCCGGCUGGGCUCCCACCACCUCCAGGAAACCUUUCGUAAGAACACAGGGCCCAUGAAUCACUCCCUCCUCUGGUUUCCUAUGGUACAUCAAAUGAGGACCACUUGCUCAGCACUUCCGAUAUACCAUGCACUACGCUCGGUGCAGCACAAGUUGUAAAAGUCUCCUACUUUUACAACUCUUUGAGCCAGGCAGUAUUGUUAUUUCCAUUUUCUAGAUGUGAACACUGAGGCUCAAUGAGGUCAAUAGUCCAGAUACAGAUGGCUAGAAAGUCAGUGAAGGAGCUGACUAGAUUUCUGUCUGUUUUCCCCUUCCUCCCUCCACCCCGGUAUCCUGCUCAUAAACCCAAUGGUGGGUGAGUGAAUAAUGUCAAGACGCAGGUGAAAGUGACUUGGUUAUGUCUCUCUUUGCACAGAGAGCACACUGCCUUCUGUGUCAGGUGUGAGCCCCUGCACUCUCCCUGGGGUCUGAAGGCUGAGGCGUGUGGCCAGAAGCUUCUACACAGGCCUAUCCCAGAGUGUGGGGACCAUGUUGGUCUCACGUGCAUGAGAGCACACGCAUGUGACUUCUACCUUCAAGCACCUCCCAGAGAGUAAGUGAGAGAGAUGACCAGGUGCAUAACAAGCAUUUGGUCAGAGCAGGAUGAUGGGGUGGGAAGAAGGGCUCAAGUCCCACCUACACAUCAACUGUGUGCCCCUGGGAAGGGCCUUCACUUCAGGAACCUCAGUUUGCAAGUCUGCAAAGUGGAGCUAAUGAUCCUUGUCCUCACUUCCUCCUGGGCUUGUUGUUAAGGCUCCUUGCAUUUUGGAAUCUUUAAAGUGCUUGGAAAAGGUAGGGAAUCCAUCUAAUUAAGGAGGAGGAGAAACAAAAGCCACCAGAGGAAUCAGGUUUCUGGUAUCCAAUUUAAUCCAAUCCAUAGGAAAACAGCCCAAGGGUGCCCCAUCGUUUGCCACCCCUAAUGAGGAAACAAUCCAGUCCUCUGAUAGGUGGAGUCGUUCAUCUCUGCAGUAAAAAGCUAAUGCUUAGUCUAGCUUUAUUCAUCCUUUUUGGCACAUAGGGUAUAUACGGUAUGGCUCCAUGGAGCCAACCAGGAGCCUCUGCCUGGUGGAAUGAUCUGUGUGCCAGGCUGGAAGAGACAGACACUCUGUUUGACCAACAAAUGUAUAGAAAAUAGUGGCCAGUAAGUAGCAAUUACGUAAUAAUCUUAUCCAAAGAAAAUGUGGGCUCAAAUUAAGAUGAUUUCACCGGGAAAACAUUAAGGUAUACAAAGAGUUCUUAAUAAAUAGAAAUAAAUAGUGCAGGGUUUGCGCCAUGGUGAUUUUCGAUGGUUAUCUGCCCUCGCCGCUGCUGCUCCAGCUGCAUCUUCCGCGGGGCUCAGCGCAGCAUUUUGCUCUACAAAAACAACUAGCUCCUUUCCAGCCAAUGAUUACUUGUAAUUAUGCUUUCCCCUGCUAUUAUUCUAAUAGACCUGUCAUGUUGCUCGGAGGACUCUGGCAUUUGGAAUAUACGACGGCUUUUAUGGAUGGACUGCUGGAACACUUAAUAUAGCUCUAUUUUUGAAUUAUCAAGUUCUAUCCUUUUGAAGUCUGUGUUAGUGGAACUCCUAUUUAUGAGAUGUGCUGUGCUUAAAGGUUUGCUAUUGAUGAAGAGGUCCAACAGAGCCUUUAUCGUAAGUACGGCAGCAUUCUCCCUGAGAGAUAAAUAGCCGUGCUAAAAGGUAUGCUGUGUACCUAGGCUGCAAAUUACUAGCCAAGUACCUCAUAACAGUAUACUUCAAAAAUACCUUUAUGCUUCUUGUUUGUUCUCUUUUCCAUAGAGAUGAAUGACAUUUCUUAAAACACAGAGGGGUGGAAGUGUGUUGGUCAUUGCUGGUCAUCGACAUUAAUUGGGUUUGAGGAACAUGUUUGUUCUGGCACAGGGUGUCUGAGUAGAUGCACGAAUGUGGCUUACAUCUCCUGUGCUUGCUGUUGUGAGAAUUUGCUUUUCUUUAUGUUCCCUUAACCUAAAGGUGGACUAAGUUGGAUUCAAGCACUUUUUGCAUGGGAAAGAGGGUUUAUGAAAAAGCAUAAUUCAGGCAGUGGUACCUGUUCUGGAGAAUUCCAAGAGCACCACUGGGGGCAGAGCAAGGGCCCGCAGCUUAAGGCUGGUGUGGGCAAAGAGUGGGUGCGAUGUUCUCCAUCCAGCAGGCAGAGGUCUUAGAAAGGGGAGGCCUGAUACAGAAGCUGGCAUGAAGAGUGGUCCCCAAAGCUCUUAUUAUCUGAGCAAUUUGAUAGACACUAAGUCAGGUCAGAGUUUUCUUUAGCAGCUCAACCAGCUUGUUUUUUUGUGGGCCCAAAGGUGGAGGCCCUGUUGGACGGUACAGGCACUGUUUUUGGCCCUGGGCAGCAAUCAUAUGGAAAGACACAUUGUGUGGUUGGAUUGUGAGUAGGAAUUUGGGGAAAUGUGUGUCUCCCUUAUGUUAUACAGAAAUGUAUUCAAGAGACUCCAAGCUGCCAGCAAGCAUCCCAGAAGCAGACAUAACUCCCUUGGCAGCCAACAUUGCAAACAGAGGCAGGACUAUGGAGCAGCUUUUGACUAGGUGGCAAGAAUUUAUAUCCAUUCCCCAAAGAAGGAAGAAGAGCCCAAGGACCGUAGCAAGGCCCUGAUUCUGGGAGACGAGAGAACACGCUGACUUAGAAUGCUUGUCUCUGCAUCCUGGUCAGAAAGUAGAUGGACGACACUUUCAUCUCCGACUGGAUUUUGGUGAGAGAUGGGCAAACCCCGGGCUCUAGGCUGGAGCAGCAGCUCUUGUAUCCACACAAAAUCAGGACUGGUGGAGGGAGCCAUCUUCAAACAUAAAUUUGCGUCUUUUGGCAAUGCACUCCUUGGGUUUGGAAGCUUCCCUCCAAGAUGCUGAGCCCAAUGUUUGGGGAAAGCCAGGGAAACAGAUGCUGGGUCAGUGCUGCUCCCACCUCCUCUGCUCCCCUCCUGAGGGCUCCACUGAGUCACCAGCCAGCAAACAGCCCAUGCGCCCUGGAGCAGAUGGACUGUGGGUACACGAGCCUCUGAACUCUUGGGCAGCAUGGGCACAACAUCCUUUUGGCCUCACCCAAUGACCUGGCUGACACAGCAUUUGUCUCCUCCAGAGGAUACAGCACCAAGGCGCCAUCUUGGAAGUAGACUGGAGCUCUUAGCAGACCAGAACCUGUGGGCCUCCUAAGACGAUGUUGCUGGAUGUCCCCUGCUGACCCCACAGACUGGCUCCUCUGGUGUCCGCUGACUUGGCCUGGUGAGAAGGGCAGGGCCAGGCCCUUCCCUGUCUCGACCUGCAUUCCCACCCAACACAGC